UACGGAAUAAUAGUUUCGUUGCCAAAAAAGCCAAAAAAUAGUUAGCAUAUAAUAUAGCGACGAAAUCGAAAAAUCGUUGCUAAAUAUUGGCGCCCUCAAUAUAGCUACAGAUUUAGCGACAAAACCUGAGCGACAAAAUUUAUUUACCUACAACGACGGAAUUAGCAACGAAAUGUCCGUCGCUAUGUUUAAUUUCUUUAUCAAAAUUUUUUUAAGCUCCUUGCUACUGAAAUUUCCGUCGAUAAUGUUAUAUCUAGUAAACAAUAAUAUCAUUAUUAGCGACGGAAAUAAGCCGUAGCUAAUUCCGUUGUUGAAUACCACUUAAUUAUUUAUCCUAGGGCACAAAAUUUGUAAAAGUUCGGUGUCUUCUUCUUCUAACAGGGUAGAACGCUGGGAGCAAAUAUAGUCGGCUGGGAGCAAAAUCAAUGGAAAACGCACUUGAGAGCAAGAACAAGGGCAAAAAUUAGUAGCCAACGUGAAUUUAAGGUGUGUAGAUGGCUUUAAUUUGUUUCUUCUUCUAUUUCUUAUUAAUCAGUAGCUUGAUGGUGGUGCUAAUGACUACGAAUACUAUGUUCAUUACACUGAAUGUGAGUGAACAUUUUCAAAUUAAUUGUUUUCUUUUUAUUUUAUUUGCAUCAAUUUGGAGUAGCUAGGGCUUGGAGCUUUAUCAGAUUUUAAUUGUAAAAGGAGGC
Molecule: long non-coding RNA, 692 nt
Filed under: Nicotiana tabacum (common tobacco)
Lineage: Eukaryota; Viridiplantae; Streptophyta; Magnoliopsida; Solanales; Solanaceae
Description: long non-coding RNA (NTAB_LNC001317)
Source: RNAcentral